RNAcentral lists this transfer RNA (96 nucleotides) under Rhodospirillales bacterium. RNAcentral describes it as "tRNA-Sec". It matches the Rfam family "Selenocysteine transfer RNA". Lineage: Bacteria; Pseudomonadati; Pseudomonadota; Alphaproteobacteria; Rhodospirillales. The record is from RNAcentral.
GGAAGAGCAUCGCCUCCCGGUGGGGCGCCUGGACUUCAAAUCCAGUGAGGGACGUGUAGACGUGCCUGGUGGGUUCGACUCCCACCUCUUCCCCCA